UUGGUGGACCCCGACAGGUCCCCGGACGAGGGUUCAGUACCCGGUGAGCGACAAGACUGGCCGAA
This 65-nucleotide non-coding RNA is filed under the name Microbacterium sp. Lineage: Bacteria; Bacillati; Actinomycetota; Actinomycetes; Micrococcales; Microbacteriaceae. The record is from RNAcentral.